GAAGGGGGGAGGCUUACCCGAGGCAGGCCCAGGCCAUUUCCCCAUGCCCUGACCAGGGGAUCAGCGGGCUGCCCCGCGGCACCGGGGCCCCCUAAGCGGCUGCUCUGCACCGGGCGAGGCGGGUUCUAAGGGGAUCCACGGAGCGGCGGGUGCUCGGAGGAUGCGGAGGCCUCCCUGUUUCCUUGGUAGAGUCGAUCCGCACUCAGUCUGACCCAGGACGUCACUCUGCCUGUCUGUUUUCUCAAUGAUAACUUGGCAGGAGAAGGGGGAAGCUGCCAGGUUUUCCCUGGGCUCAUUACCUGGACAAACUCAUGGUAGUAAGCACCAUGCCUGAUAAGUGUUUUCAGAAUCCAAGCCCCUAAAUUAAGACAGAAGUGGAGAUGACAACAUGAUUAUGCAUUCACUGAAGAAGUUAUUCCAUGUGGCUUGGAUCCAAUCCAAUUCCUGUGGAAGUCAACGGAAAGACUCCUAUCAAUGUUAUUUUUAGCUAUCCAGACAGUUUUGACUAGCUGCUUCCAGGGAAGAGAGAGAAAUCCAAAUGACCCAAGUGAAGGUUUCUCUGUGGAGGUACACAUCCUUCUUGCAAAUCACUUUAAAAUGGCUUUCUACUUUCUGGCUUUAUAAAGUUAUCUUCAGAAAGCUACAUUAAAGAAGACCUCAGGACCUGGUUUGCUUUCCCCCUUUUAAAAGGAGCCUAACAAUGCAUUCCUCCAAAAGGCAAAAGAGACAGUCAAAAGAUUUCUGCAUGAAAAUCAAUAUAUUCUAUGCUCACUUCAAUUUGGGCUUCAGUCUGCCACAUUUAUUUAUGCUGAGUAUGUAUUGCUGGGUGGGAAAGUAUCAGGGGGUAGCCGUGUUAGUCUGUAUCUACAAAAACAACAAGGAGUCUGGUGGCACCUU
Molecule: non-coding RNA, 897 nt
Organism: Chrysemys picta bellii (western painted turtle)
Lineage: Eukaryota; Metazoa; Chordata; Testudines; Emydidae
Source: RefSeq, a predicted model, not a curated record